GGGCAGGUGGCCGAGUGGUUAAAGGCGACAGACUGUAAAUCUGUUCUCUCCGGAGUACACAGGUUCGAACCCUGUCCUGCCCA
RNAcentral lists this transfer RNA (83 nucleotides) under Filimonas sp. RNAcentral's name for it is "tRNA-Tyr". It matches the Rfam family "tRNA". Rfam says of the family: Transfer RNA (tRNA) molecules are approximately 80 nucleotides in length. Their secondary structure includes four short double-helical elements and three loops (D, anti-codon, and T loops). The record is from RNAcentral. RNAcentral also lists the same sequence under 2 other names. Lineage: Bacteria; Pseudomonadati; Bacteroidota; Chitinophagia; Chitinophagales; Chitinophagaceae.